GAAGCUCGAAAGCUAAAGUCCAUGAGCGUAAUCAGUUUGGAGAAGAUGGAAGAUAAUGCCGCCGAAAUCACUCUCCAAUGCCAAUUUUUAUUUAGUUUUCCUUCAUAUAUGUGACCAGAAGUGGCGUUGUGAUGAGGUCAAUAACUAAGCUAAAAAGAGAAGAAAAAUCCGGAGAUAGAUGACCAAGUGGAGAGUUGAAUGCAGACUAUAAUUUGUAUCUUUGUAAGAGAUUUACAUGUAUGUAAUAUAGUUGAUCUACAUGUGACCUUCACAUACAAGUAGUACCGCUAUGCUCUAAAAUGAAUUCCUACUAAAUAGCUAUGUAUAAUUA
This is a non-coding RNA of Lolium perenne, 331 nucleotides long. The record is from RefSeq and is a predicted model, not a curated record. Lineage: Eukaryota; Viridiplantae; Streptophyta; Magnoliopsida; Poales; Poaceae.